This 200-nucleotide long non-coding RNA is filed under the name Nicotiana benthamiana. RNAcentral describes it as "long non-coding RNA (NBEN_LNC024064)". Lineage: Eukaryota; Viridiplantae; Streptophyta; Magnoliopsida; Solanales; Solanaceae. The record is from RNAcentral.
GCAUCACUCUUCCCGCUUUACACUCUUCCUCACCCAAGAAAUAAUUACAAAGUAAUUAGGGAAAGGGAAUCAAUGACAUCACCAUAAAGUCAAGUAACAACAAAAAAUUAAUAAAGUAAACGUAAAGAACAACGUGACUCAAUUAUCAGCAAAAAUCAGGGAAAUCAAGGACAAGUGCACGAUAUAUACAACAAUUCAAU